UGCCAAACUUGGGAACCGUCGUAUUGGCACAGCGAGGAUGAUCAACAGAUACCCGAUAGGCAGCGAUGAGAGCUGUUCAUGGCACCGACACAGAGGACAGAUUGCAGUACAAGAUAGGAGCAUACUUCCUGCAAG
This is a long non-coding RNA of Rhipicephalus sanguineus (brown dog tick), 135 nucleotides long. RefSeq lists it as uncharacterized. The record is from RefSeq and is a predicted model, not a curated record. NCBI's taxonomy places the organism in Eukaryota, Metazoa, Arthropoda, Arachnida, Ixodida, Ixodidae. The transcript has 3 exons.